Carassius auratus (goldfish) is the source of this 925-nucleotide long non-coding RNA. RefSeq lists it as uncharacterized. The transcript is spliced from 2 exons. NCBI's taxonomy places the organism in Eukaryota, Metazoa, Chordata, Actinopteri, Cypriniformes, Cyprinidae. The record is from RefSeq and is a predicted model, not a curated record.
AGAUUUUUUGUUCUGAAUUCUUAUACUGCAAAUAUUCAGUUUAAAAAAAAUCAGAUUCAAGUUUUCCAGAUGAAGAAAUUCGGAACUUCAAAUUCAGUUUUCUAAAAUUCAAUGUCAAAAAUUCAAACUCAAAAAUUCAGAUCUUACAGAAAGUAGGUCACAGGUCAUCCACAGGGAAGAGUAGAUGAUCUCAGAAAAGUUUUCCAGCGCGAUCGUGGUGGUUGUUCAAGAGGUUGACUCUGACUCUGAUCAUGAAUCGCCCGGGGUUAAGUGUUAGAUUAGCUUUCUCAGCACGAGAGACAUUUUGUCUAAGCGAUCUCUGGUGUUUGUUUUGAAGUAUAUUUUAUAUAAAAUUGAUUAGAACGCGACCGUGUGUACUAGGCCUAAGUUACACAGACAGGACGCGAGCGGCGCGACGCAACUCGGUGCUUGAAGCGACUGUUGCAAAGAGCUGGGACUAGGUCAGAAAUAGGAGGGGAAUCCGUGUGCGGUUGGGGAUUUCACGGGUCGCGUCGCACCGUUCGCGUCCGGUGUUGUGUAAUAUUCGGUUCCCGUGAAAAACUGUUCCCGUGGGUGGAGUUUACAUGAACAUGCAUUAGUUCCCUGAUCAGUGUACGCUUCUCAAAUCGCUAUUUGGAUUAUUUUGAAAAGACUGGAUGAGAGAGCUGAAGUCACUGGUACAGUAGCUGAUCAUUGUAUGAACUGGACAUACAUGGAAGCUGUUCUCAACGAGAGACAAUAAAUAUCUCAGACACUCACCUCAUUUUGCAUUGCUUCAUUCCAUGCUUACUUUCACACAACUUUCCUUGUCUUUUCUAUUUGUGUUAAAUUCAUGAAGCAAUUACUUCUGUACUUUUCACAGUAACAUUUAAUGAAUGUAAUAUUUGUGAUCUACAAUAUUGUUUUUUGAGUAUAAUUUUAAACA